Molecule: long non-coding RNA, 74 nt
Organism: Myotis brandtii (Brandt's bat)
Lineage: Eukaryota; Metazoa; Chordata; Mammalia; Chiroptera; Vespertilionidae
Exons: 3
Source: RefSeq, a predicted model, not a curated record
AAAAAUAGUCUUACCAUAUGAUCUAGAAAUUGUGCUCCUUGGCAUUUACUCAAAUAAGUUGAAACAUAUAUACA